GAGCCCAAUAAGGGGCUUGAACUCAAGAUCUGUGAGAUCAUGACCUGAGUGAAGUUGGUUCCCCAACGACUGAGCCACUCAGGCGCCCUGGUGAUUAAGCAAAUUUAAAGUAUCCUCCUUCCCUCGGUCCAAAAUGUAGCCCAGUCCUUUCUAGUUACACUUGUGCUUUCAGGUUUACUCUUAUCAUUGGCACAGCGUAUUACCCAGCACUGUAACAAGGUAACUUGUUAAUUAUUAUUUUUAUACGUUUCUGUUUAUUUAGUAAUCUCUACACCCAGCAUGGGGCUCGAACUCAAGACCCCGAGAUCAAGAGUCAUGCACUCUUCCCACUGAGCUAUCCGGGCACCCCCAGGCCGCAUUCAUCAAUCAAUUUGUCUGCCAUAUCCUAUCUCAGAUGAAUAUAAUGAGCUUUAUGUUAUCCUUAUUGGUGCCAGUAAUUUGCAUUAAAUCAAGAAUCAUUUAAAUCUUCUUCCAAUGACUGACGUGUCAUCAGCCUUUGUCAAGAGCAGCUGCAUCAGGAAUUUUGAACUGUGAAGUCUCAUUCUUCUUGUUAGACCUGUGUUUCCAAGAAUCUUGCUGACCAAGACUCAUCCUUACCAAAUGAGUCAUGUUCAUCUAAUUCUGCUAAUUCAGUGCAAUUUAAUUCUAACAUAUUAAUACACAAAGUAUUUUUAAGACAUAUAUCUAUAUUAUGC
Prionailurus viverrinus (fishing cat) is the source of this 695-nucleotide long non-coding RNA. RefSeq lists it as uncharacterized. NCBI's taxonomy places the organism in Eukaryota, Metazoa, Chordata, Mammalia, Carnivora, Felidae. The record is from RefSeq and is a predicted model, not a curated record. The transcript has 3 exons.